CCCUGUCUACUAUCCAGCGAA
Molecule: non-coding RNA, 21 nt
Filed under: Arabidopsis thaliana (thale cress)
Lineage: Eukaryota; Viridiplantae; Streptophyta; Magnoliopsida; Brassicales; Brassicaceae
Source: RNAcentral